Molecule: long non-coding RNA, 529 nt
Organism: Octopus bimaculoides (California two-spot octopus)
Lineage: Eukaryota; Metazoa; Mollusca; Cephalopoda; Octopoda; Octopodidae
Source: RefSeq, a predicted model, not a curated record
UUUUACAAGACAACAAUAUAGAGAAAGGACGUGAUAAUUUAAACAAAACAAGAUUCAAUUCCAAAACACAACAAAUAAACUAUAUAUCAAUGUUGGAAACUGUAUUUGAAAGCGUUUGAAAUAAAUCCUAGCAAAACUUUUACCGACAAUAUCAUGUAAUUUAUACUUUAAACUUUCGUAGGUUUUCUACGCUUUUUCUUCUUGUAAACUUGAUCUUGUAUUUCUAUUUUACAAACUGAUGUUUGCCAAAGAUGAUGCAGAAGGUGGCUAUAGUAAGCCGGGCAACAGAAAGAAAGAAUAUUAUUCUCUCACGUUUUAAAAAGAAAUGAUUCUGCGUGAAACCAAUAAAGAGGAUCGAGUUCUCUUCUUUAGGUGCUUCUGUGAACAUAGGAAAUAAAUCUUCGUCAAAUACCAGUCUACGUUUAAGAAAAAGGAGCAAAGAGGAUAGUGUAGUCCUGGCUGGACUACAUCAGAAGAUUAAGACAAGGUCAUUACUGCAAUACUGGCAAAAUAUUUAUAUUAAAUAAAC